Molecule: ribosomal RNA, 408 nt
Filed under: uncultured bacterium
Lineage: Bacteria
Description: partial 16S ribosomal RNA
Rfam family: Bacterial small subunit ribosomal RNA
Source: RNAcentral
GACGAACGCUGGCGGCGUGCUUAACACAUGCAAGUCGAACGAAGUGGCGAACGGGUGAGUAACGCGUAAUCAACCUGCCCUUCAGGGGGGGACAACAGUUGGAAACGACUGCUAAUACCGCAUACUGAAUGAGGGGUUUGCGUCUGAUUAGCUAGUUGGGGGGGUAACGGCCCACCAAGGCGAUGAUCAGAAGGCGGGCUGAUAGGAUGAACGGCCCCAUUGGGACUGAGACACGGCCCAGACUCCUACGGGAGGCAGCAGUUGGGAAUUAUCCGCAAUGGACGAAAGUCUGACUGAGCAACGCCGCGUGAGUUAUGACGGCCCUCGGGUUGUAAAGCUCUUUUAAGCGGGACGCGGUACCGGAAGAGAAAGCCACGGCUAACUACGUGCCAGCAGCCGCGGUAAUUC